Molecule: non-coding RNA, 29 nt
Filed under: Rattus norvegicus (Norway rat)
Lineage: Eukaryota; Metazoa; Chordata; Mammalia; Rodentia; Muridae
Source: RNAcentral
UGGGAUGAUUAUGGGAAUGGAAUUGUUUU